This 253-nucleotide ribosomal RNA is filed under the name uncultured bacterium. Its description in RNAcentral is "partial 16S ribosomal RNA". It matches the Rfam family "Bacterial small subunit ribosomal RNA", at positions 524 to 776 of the family's 1533-position model. The record is from RNAcentral.
UACGGAGGGUGCAAGCGUUAUCCGGAUUUACUGGGUUUAAAGGGUGCGUAGGCGGGCCUUUAAGUCAGUGGUGAAAUCUCCCCGCUCAACGGGGAAACUGCCAUUGAUACUAUUGGUCUUGAAUUUAGUUGAGGUGGGCGGAAUGCGUCGUGUAGCGGUGAAAUGCUUAGAUAUGACACAGAACACCGAUUGCGAAGGCAGCUCGCUAAACUAAUAUUGACGCUGAGGCACGAAAGCGUGGGGAUCAAACAGG